RNAcentral lists this long non-coding RNA (580 nucleotides) under Mytilus galloprovincialis (Mediterranean mussel). The record is from RNAcentral. Lineage: Eukaryota; Metazoa; Mollusca; Bivalvia; Mytilida; Mytilidae.
GGCUAUUCCGUCCAUCUUUUCCUUCGCCAAAACUCGCUGUAAUCGAGUUACAACACGAAGCGACCGGUAUUAAUUCAAUAGUAAAACACUAUUCCUCAUUUAGCUUUCUGCUUUAACUGAAUAUUCACUAUAAUUUGGUGCAUUGGAAGAGAAAUUUGUCACAUUUUGCAAAAGGAAUUGGUUAAUUGGCCGUCCAAAGGUCUAAAAUUAUCCCUGUAAUUUAUUAAACUCAUAGUAAAGUAAUUGGAAUUGUCUCAUUUUCAGGCGUAAUUUAUGGGUUUUCUAGCCCUAAAUGAAUUAGACACCUUAAUUAGUUCUAAAAUCUCUGAUGGGUAAAUUUGUUUAAAUUAUUGAUAACAUAGUUGUUGUGUGGUGUUCAGUCGGACUUUAUUUUAUUAUUCACAUUAACUAUUUGUUGCCUUAAGCCAAAUUGAUGUACGGGAGAAAUAUAGUGGACAAUAAUGUAAUUGCCAGACCACAAAAUGUAGAAACAACUGUGAGAUGGAAUUAACGCGGAAAUAUUUAUUUCAGAUAAUGGCAACUGGUACUUUUGAUAUAAGUGGAAUUAUGGGAACCUUUU